GUUGUGAUGGAGGAGGCGCUGGGCUGGCCGGCUCCUCCUCUUUCCGAAAGUCGGCCUCCGUCAGUUCGUCCAUCAUGCUCAUCUCCGCCUCUCGGAUUUCACCAAAACUCCUGGACGGAUUUACUCAGAACUUGGUGGAAGGAGGAGACGUAGGCCGAGAAAGGAAUUCCAUCAAUUUUGACAUGGAUCCAGAUCGGGGGGGCAGAUGCAGGAUUGUUUUUUUCCCACCCAUUUUACAUAAAAAGAUUUACGAGCAUUUCACAAAUCUCCCAUGGCAUGAUUUAUAGAUCAGGGAUAUAUUUAGAAAACUGAUAUCUAUGAGGGUGUGGAAUCUGUUGGGCCUUGGUUGAGUUGUGUGCGCUACUGAGUGAAUUGUGUCUUCGUAAUAGCAUCAAAAUAUAAUGUUACACUGUGAAAAACAUCCUGUUAUAACAAUAAACUUUCUUUCUUUCUC
Long non-coding RNA from Platichthys flesus (European flounder), 454 nucleotides. RefSeq lists it as uncharacterized. The record is from RefSeq and is a predicted model, not a curated record. The transcript has 2 exons. NCBI's taxonomy places the organism in Eukaryota, Metazoa, Chordata, Actinopteri, Pleuronectiformes, Pleuronectidae.